CCCUUAGAUGUUCUGGGCCGCACGCGCGCUACACUGAUGCAUUCCACGAGUUUCUUCCUGGUCCGAGAGGAAUGGGUAACCUUUUGAAAGUGCAUCGUGAUAGGGAUAGACUAUUGCAAUUAUUGGUCUUCAACGAGGAAUUCCUAGUAGACGUAGUUCAUCAGACUGCAUCGAUUACGUCCCUGCCCUUUGUACACACCGCCCGUCGCUCCUACCGAUUGAAUGCUCAGGUGAGCCAUUCGGACUUUCAUCAUGCUGGUUUCCAGUUUUGAUGAAGGAAAGUCUUGCGAACCUUAUCAUUUAGAGGAAGGAGAAGUCGUAACA
This 324-nucleotide ribosomal RNA is filed under the name uncultured eukaryote. RNAcentral's name for it is "partial 18S ribosomal RNA". It matches the Rfam family "Eukaryotic small subunit ribosomal RNA", at positions 1470 to 1796 of the family's 1831-position model. The record is from RNAcentral.